This 442-nucleotide ribosomal RNA is filed under the name uncultured bacterium. RNAcentral describes it as "partial 16S ribosomal RNA". It matches the Rfam family "Bacterial small subunit ribosomal RNA", at positions 338 to 795 of the family's 1533-position model. The record is from RNAcentral.
CCUACGGGUGGCAGCAGUAGGGAAUCUUUCACAAUGGGCGAAAGCCUGAUGGAGCAACGCCGCGUGCAGGAUGAAGGCCUUCGGGUUGUAAACUGCUUUUAUAAGCGAGAAAUAUGAUGGUAACUUAUGAAUAAGGAUCGGCUAACUACGUGCCAGCAGCCGCGGUCAUACGUAGGAUCCGAGCAUUAUCCGGAGUGACUGGGUGUAAAGAGUUGCGUAGGUGGCAUAAUAAGUAGCUAGUGAAAUCUGGUGGCUCAACCAUUCAGACUAUUAGCUAAACUGUUAAGCUCGAGACCGUUAGGGGUAACUGGAAUUUCUGGUGUAGGAGUGAAAUCCGUAGAUAUUAGAAGGAACACCAAUAGCGUAGGCAGGUUGCUGGGACGGUUCUGACACUAAGGCACGAAAGCGUAGGGAGCAAACGGGAUUAGAUAACCCUGUAGUC